RNAcentral lists this ribosomal RNA (449 nucleotides) under uncultured bacterium. Its description in RNAcentral is "bacterial SSU rRNA". It matches the Rfam family "Bacterial small subunit ribosomal RNA", at positions 354 to 796 of the family's 1533-position model. The record is from RNAcentral.
GUAGGGAAUCUUCCACAAUGGGCGAAAGCCUGAUGGAGCAAUGCCGCGUGAGUGAUGAAGGUUUUCGGAUCGUAAAGCUCUGUUGCCAGGGAAGAACGUCCAGUAGAGUAACUGCUAUUGGAGUGACGGUACCUGAGAAGAAAGCCCCGGCUAACUACGUGCCAGCAGCCGCGGUAAUACGUAGGGGGCAAGCGUUGUCCGGAAUUAUUGGGCGUAAAGCGCGUGCAGGCGGCUUCUUAAGUCGGGUGUUUAAGACCGGGGCUCAACCCCGGCUCGCACCCGAAACUGGGAAGCUUGAGUGUAGGAGAGGAAAGUGGAAUUCCACGUGUAGCGGUGAAAUGCGUAGAGAUGUGGAGGAACACCAGUGGCGAAGGCGACUUUCUGGCCUAUAACUGACGCUGAGGCGCGAAAGCGUGGGGAGCAAACAGGAUUAGAUACCCGUGUAGUCC